GGCCGUGGCCUGGCUGAGCACGUUCCCGGCCGGAGUCGCGGAGCAGCGCUGGGCUCCCGCAGCUGGGCUGCCAGGCGGGGCGGUAACCCCGCGUGGUUGCGAACCGCUGGAUGGCUGAGCGUGUGCGUUGCUCUUCCUUCUGCUAUCGCCGGGCCAACCCCCGAGAGAAGCGCGGUCACGUUUCUUAAUGCCUCUCUGGAAAGUGCUUAGUCUCUGCAGGGAUCGGCGCAGCUCAAGAACUUCCACCGAGUGGAGUAAAUGCCACCUCUGGAAAUAAUCCCCUGCAGGACGUUACAUGUUUCCAUCUUCAUACGUGUCCAUGUACCUUUCUUUAACCUCUGUCAGGACUAACUGUCUUCUUUUUGCACAGUGUGUUGUUAUAGGUUGGACUCCCUUCGUCCGGCACUCUGGAUUUUGCCAGACCAGGGGAGGUUAUAUCAGGCCCCCCUACUACUGAUCUCAACCACCAACGCUGGACUGGCUAACAACCUCCCCUGUUGCCAUCCCAGCUGCCCUGCUGGUCCUCCUUCCCCUCUUGCUUCCCGCCAGGCAGCCCAGCUGCCACAUGCCAGGCUCCCGGUACCGCCAGGCUGCCACAUUCUGGAUUCCCAGUCUGCCAGAUAGCUCAGCUGGGUCACGCCUGGCAGCCCAGCUGCAGGGAGCCCAGCUGCCAGCACUCCAUUGGAACUCUCUAGUCCUGGAACAUCUGUGGUCCUUUGCCAGACCAGAGAGUCCCAGCUGACCCUCUGUAAACCUAUACUAAGUAUAGUUUAAAAAACUUGCUCACAUAUUUAUCUUCUGCAUUGGCAUUGAUAGUAUUCACAGAAGUGCAUCAUACUGAGUAAUCCUAAAUAAGAAGAUUGCAUAAAAGAAUUAGGAGAAAUGUAUAGGUGUUAAGAGUGUAAUAGAACAAGGCAAAAGAUGGCAGAGCAAGGACGUGACGAAUCAGAUGGUUAGGAAUGAAGCCUACAAACUGGGGAGGAUAAAGAGUUAGUAUAUAUCAUAAUCUAACUUGUAUUUUGUUUUAAAACAGGUUUUUGAUAAAAGGACAAAAAUUGCAGUUAUUUGAAUUGAAACCUACUCCACAAAACUGUCUUCAUAAUACAUAGAGAAUACAAACUGAGCUCCAUUAUGAAGGUGUUCUGUGGAAGGGCCAAUCCAACCACAGGUUCAAUGGAAUGGUUAGAGGAAGAUGAGGACUAUGACUUUCAUCAGGAGAUUGCAAGAUCCUGCUAUGCAGACAUGCUUCAUGACAAAGACAGAAAUGUGAAGUAUUACCGGGGCAUUCGUGCUGCAGUGAGCAGGGUGAAAGGAAGGGGCGAGAAAGCAAUUGUCCUAGACAUUGGGACUGGCACAGGACUCCUGUCCAUGAUGGCAGUUACAGCAGGUGCAGACUUCUGCUAUGCUAUUGAGGUCUUCAUGCCUAUGGCUGUUGCUGCUGAAAAGAUAGUGGAGAAAAAUGGCUUUAGUGACAAGAUCAAGAUAAUCAACAAGCACUCCACAGAUGUUACAGUUGGACCAGAUGGAGACAUGCAGUGUCGUGCAAAUAUCUUGAUAACAGAGUUAUUUGACACAGAGCUGAUAGGAGAAGGAGCUUUACCAUCCUAUGAACAUGCCCACAAAUAUCUUGUGCAGGAAGGAUGUGAGGCAGUGCCUCACAGGGCAAGAGUAUAUGCCCAAUUAGUGGAAUCCAAAAGAAUGUGGUCCUGGAACAAGCUUUUUCCUGUUCACGUCCAAGCAGAGGAUGAUGAGAAAAUUAUUGUCUUCCCUUCAGAAAUAGACACCUGUCCUGGUGUUCCUUCUGUCUAUGAUAUCCAACUAAACCAGGUGCCUCAGAGUGACUUCACUGUCCUCAGUGAUGUUGUGACUAUGUUCAGUAUGGAUUUCAGUAAGGAAGUAAACAGCUCGUCAGCCUGUUACACAGUGAAGUUGCAGCCCAUAAAAUCUGGCAUGGCACAAGUGAUCCUUUCAUGGUGGGAUAUUGAUAUGGACCCCUCUGGGACGAUAAAAUGUACUAUGGCACCAUACUGGGUACAACCUGCCUCUCAUGAUGUCCAGUGGCGAGAUCAUUGGAUGCAGUGUGUAUAUUUCCUUCCAAAGGAGGAACCAGUUCUUCAGGGUGAGAGUGUGUGCCUUUCUGCAUAUCGUGAUGAAUAUUCCGUGUGGUAUAAGCUCCAGAAGGCCAGAAAUGAAGAGGACAAAAAAGAUGCCUAUUUUGGGAGUCCUCUUUGUAGCUGUCAGGCUCAUCUGCUUUGGAACAGACCACGCUUUGGAGAGCUAAAUGAUCUGAACCGAACAAACCAGUACAUCCAGGCUCUGAUGACAGUACUGAAAAAAGACAGUAUUUGCCUCUGCAUCAGUGACGGCAGCCUGCUUCCGCUGCUGGCUCAGUAUCUUGGAGCAGAGCAGGUGUUUACAGUAGAGAACUCUGCAGUAUCGCAUUGUCUCAUGGAAAAAAUCUUUAAAGCCAACCAAGUAGGAGAUAAAAUUAAAAUAAUAGAGAAACGUCCUGAAUUAUUGACCCCUUCUGACUUGGAAUAUAAAAAGGUCUCAGUCCUCAUUGGAGAACCAUUUUUCACUACAAGCCUUUUACCAUGGCACAACCUCUACUUUCUGUAUGCUAGGACAGCUGUGGCAACUCACCUCACAAACAAUGUCACCAUCCUGCCACAAUCUGCUUCCCUUUACAUGAUGAUCGUGGAAUUCAAGGACUUGUGGAGAAUUCGAAGCCCAUGUGGUAUCUGUGAAGGGUUUGAUGUUCACAUUAUGGAUGACAUGAUUAAGUGCAGUUACUUAGACUAAAACACUUUCCAGGAACCAGUGAUGAGACUUGGCUAGUCGUGGUUAAUCCUGUGACACCGGCUUUACUGGCAUGUCCCAUUACCAGUAAUAAGAUGAGCUUGAAAAGCCUGAGGACUAAUCAACUUUAUUGCAAAAAUUAGAAUUCUCUGAAUUUUAGGGAGUCUAAGGAGGCAGAGCCUCACCCAUUGUGGGAAUAUCCUUGCAAAUCACUGUCUGACCCCCAAGAGGUUAUGACAUUUGACUUCAGACUGACUGUACCACAACAAAUUCUCAGCACAGAUGGCUCUGUAAAUCUGUUAAGGACUGGGAAGAGCCAUGGAGCAGUUCUGUGGAUGGAAUAUCAUCUGACUGAGGAUAUCUCAGUCAGCACAGGACUUCUGCAGAUUUCAGAUGAAAAGGGCAAUUGCAAAUGGAAUCCGCACUGCAAACAAGCUGUCUUUUUCUUCAGUUUUGCUCUUGAACCAGAAAGUCUGACAGACCUCCCUAGUGCUAUCACGUACAAUA
Non-coding RNA from Pelodiscus sinensis (Chinese soft-shelled turtle), 3306 nucleotides. NCBI's taxonomy places the organism in Eukaryota, Metazoa, Chordata, Testudines, Trionychidae. The record is from RefSeq and is a predicted model, not a curated record.